Molecule: ribosomal RNA, 537 nt
Filed under: uncultured Acidobacteriota bacterium
Lineage: Bacteria; Pseudomonadati; Acidobacteriota
Description: bacterial SSU rRNA
Rfam family: Bacterial small subunit ribosomal RNA
Source: RNAcentral
UUGAUCCUGGCUCAGAAUCAACGCUGGCGGCGUGCCUAACACAUGCAAGUCGAACGCGAAAGCCCCGCAAGGGGUUAGUAGAGUGGCAAACGGGUGAGUUACACGUGGGUGACCUGCCUCAGAGUGGGGGAUAACGACCCGAAAGGGUCUCUAAUACCGCAUAAUAUCCUGCGUUUGGAGACGCGGUGAUCAAAGCCGGUGAUCGCAAGACCUGGCGCUUUAAGAGGGGCCCGCGGCCGAUUAGCUAGUUGGUGAGGUAACGGCUCACCAAGGCAACGAUCGGUAUCCGGCCUGAGAGGUCGGACGGACACACUGGGACUGAGACACGGCCCAGACUCCUACGGGAGGCUGCAGUGGGGAAUUGUUCGCAAUGGGCGCAAGCCUGACGACGCAACGCCGUGUGGGGGACGAAGAUUUUCGGAUCGUAAACUCCUUUCGAUCGGGAAGAAUAGCUUCCGGGUGAAUAGCCUGGAAGUCUGACGGUACCGAGAGAAGAAGCUCCGGCUAACUCCGUGCCAGCAGCCGCGGUAAUAAGGU